GCGCCUAAGGAUGGGUCUGCGGCCUAUCAGGUAGUAGUGGGUGUAGCGUACCUACUAGCCUACGACGGGUACGGGUUGUGAGAGCAAGAGCCCGGAGAUGGAUUCUGAGACACGAAUCCAGGCCCUACGGGGUGCAGCAGGCGCGAAAACUUUACAAUGCUGGCAACAGCGAUAAGGGAACCUCGAGUGCCAGGUUACAAAUCUGGCUGUCGAGAUGCCUAAAAAGCAUUUCAUAGCAAGGGCCGGGCAAGACCGGUGCCAGCCGCCGCGGUAACACCGGCGGCUCGAGUGGUAACCGUUAUUAUUGGGUCUAAAGGGUCUGUAGCCGGCCGGAUAAGUCUCUUGAGAAAUCUGGCAGCUUAACUGUCAGGCUUUCAGGAGAUACUGUCUGGCUCGAGGCCGGGAGAGGUGAGAGGUACUUCAGGGGUAGGGGUGAAAUCUUGUAAUCCUUGAAGGACCACCAGUGGCGAAGGCGUCUCACCAGAACGGACCUGACGGCAAGGGACGAAAGCUAGGGGCACGAACCGGAUUAGAUACCCGGGUAGUCCUAGCCGUAAACGAUACUCGCUAGGUGUCGGCCACGGUGCGACCGUUGUCGGUGCCGUAGGGAAGCCGUGAAGCGAG
This 624-nucleotide ribosomal RNA is filed under the name uncultured archaeon. Its description in RNAcentral is "bacterial SSU rRNA". It matches the Rfam family "Archaeal small subunit ribosomal RNA", at positions 199 to 823 of the family's 1478-position model. The record is from RNAcentral.